Molecule: ribosomal RNA, 413 nt
Filed under: uncultured eukaryote
Lineage: Eukaryota
Description: SSU rRNA
Rfam family: Eukaryotic small subunit ribosomal RNA
Source: RNAcentral
CAAUAGCGUAUAUUAAAGUUGUUGCGGUAAAAAGCUCGUAGUUGGAUUUCUGUUGAGGACGACCGGUCCACUCCAUGAGUGCGCAUCUGGUUCGGCCUCGGCAUCCUCUCGAUAGACGUUACUGCGCUUGAUUGCGUGGUGCGGAUUUCGGGACUUUACUUUGAGGAAAUUAGAGUGUUCACGGCAGGCUUUCGCCCGAAUAUAUUAGCAUGGAAUAAUACUAUAGGAUCUUGGUCCUAUUUUGUUGGUUUCUAGGAUGAGAUAAUGAUUAAUAGGGACAAUUGGGGGCAUUUGUACUGACAAGUCAGAGGUGGAAUUCUUGGAUUUUGUCAUGACAAACUACUGCGAAAGCAUUUGCCAAGGAUGUUUUCAUUGAUCAAGAACGAAAGUACGGGGAUCGAAGAUGAUUAGAU